GUGGGGAAUCUUCCGCAAUGGGCGAAAGCCUGACGGAGCAACGCCGCGUGAGUGAAGACGGCCUUCGGGUUGUAAAGCUCUGUUAUAUGGGACGAACGGGUGUAUGGUCAAUACCCAUACGCCGUGACGGUACCGUAAGAGAAAGCCACGGCUAACUACGUGCCAGCAGCCGCGGUAAUACGUAGGUGGCAAGCGUUGUCCGGAAUCAUUGGGCGUAAAGGGCGCGCAGGCGGUUCGGUAAGUCGGUCUUAAAAGUGCGGGGCUUAACCCCGUGAUGGGAGUGAAACUGCCGGACUGGAGUGUCGGAGAGGAAAGCAGAAUUCCUAGUGUAGCGGUGAAAUGCGUAGAUAUUAGGAGGAAUACCAGUGGCGAAAGCGGCUUUCUGGACGACAACUGACGCUGAGGCGCGAAAGCCAGGGGAGCAAACGGGAUUAGAAACCCUAGUAGUCC
RNAcentral lists this ribosomal RNA (450 nucleotides) under uncultured bacterium. RNAcentral's name for it is "partial 16S ribosomal RNA". It matches the Rfam family "Bacterial small subunit ribosomal RNA", at positions 354 to 796 of the family's 1533-position model. The record is from RNAcentral.